ACCUGCCUAUAAGACUGGGAUAACUUCGGGAAACCGGAGCUAAUACCGGAUACGUUCUUUUCUCGCAUGAGAGAAGAUGGAAAGACGGUUCUGCUGUCACUUAUAGAUGGGCCCGCGGCGCAUUAGCUAGUUGGUGAGGUAAUGGCUCACCAAGGCGACGAUGCGUAGCCGACCUGAGAGGGUGAUCGGCCACACUGGGACUGAGACACGGCCCAGACUCCUACGGGAGGCAGCAGUAGGGAAUCUUCCGCAAUGGACGAAAGUCUGACGGAGCAACGCCGCGUGAACGAAGAAGGCCUUCGGGUCGUAAAGUUCUGUUGUUAGGGAAGAACAAGUACCAGAGUAACUGCUGGUACCUUGACGGUACCUAACCAGAAAGCCACGGCUAACUACGUGCCAGCAGCCGCGGUAAUAUGUAGGUGGCAAGCGUUGUCCGGAAUUAUUGGGCGUAAAGCGCGCGCAGGUGGUUCCUUAAGUCUGAUGUGAAAGCCCACGGCUCAACCGUGGAGGGUCAUUGGAAACUGGGGAACUUGAGUGCAGAAGAGGAAAGUGGAAUUCCAAGUGUAGCGGUGAAAUGCGUAGAGAUUUGGAGGAACACCAGUGGCGAAAGCGACUUUCUGGUCUGUAACUGACACUGAGGCGCGAAAGCGUGGGGAGCAAACAAGGAUUAGAUACCCUGGUAGUCCACGCCGUAAACGAUGAGUGCUAAGUGUUAGAGGGUUUUCCGCCCUUUAGUGCUGCAGCUAACGCAUUAAAGCACUCCGCCCUGGGAA
RNAcentral lists this ribosomal RNA (773 nucleotides) under Lysobacter sp. Its description in RNAcentral is "bacterial SSU rRNA". It matches the Rfam family "Bacterial small subunit ribosomal RNA", at positions 124 to 880 of the family's 1533-position model. The record is from RNAcentral. Lineage: Bacteria; Pseudomonadati; Pseudomonadota; Gammaproteobacteria; Lysobacterales; Lysobacteraceae.